UUGAAAAAAAAUGAAUUGCUUUGUUCUGUUGGAUCUCAAAAACGUAUCCUCUCACUGUUAAUUGAUUUUGUUAUAUAUGAAUGUUGGUUUCUGUGAGAUAACUUAUUGGAUCUUGUUUCCAGAUUUUAUGGGAUGUUUGCUUUGUGGAUUUAAGGUUGUUUAUUUGGAUAUUGGAAUGUGUUUUUUUGGUGUUUUCUUUGAUUCAUCGUGCAACAUACUUACCUGUUUAUUUAAUCGUUUAUUUUCCAGUUUGUUUUAAGUGCUUAUUUGAUAAGCCUUUUCUUUGAAUUGUUUUUUUUGCAGGUGAAGUGAUGUUGAUUAGGAAAGGAGGCGGCGCCAGCUUGGGAUUGGGGCGUUGGAGCAUCCAAAAGAGCUUUUGGAAAAGUCUUGGAAGCUGUUUCAAUCUGUUGGAUACUCAACUUGUUCAAUUUUUCUUCAAAUUUAUUUAGCUGUAACAAAACUUUUGGAUUGUAACUUUAGGGACUAAUCAUGUAACCUCUGUUGAAUUAUUUGUAAGAUCUGCAUAUUUUAAACUCUUUUGAUUAUGCCUUGGCCUUUUUUGGAGUAAUUUGUAACAUUUGGAUUUAAUUAGAACUUUGAAUUUAAUUGGAACUUUGACUAUGAAAAAUUGGGGUUGAAACGUAUAACCUC
Molecule: long non-coding RNA, 651 nt
Filed under: Lathyrus oleraceus (garden pea)
Lineage: Eukaryota; Viridiplantae; Streptophyta; Magnoliopsida; Fabales; Fabaceae
Description: Pisum sativum (pea) long non-coding RNA (PSAT_LNC029320)
Source: RNAcentral